Molecule: ribosomal RNA, 468 nt
Filed under: uncultured bacterium
Lineage: Bacteria
Description: partial 16S ribosomal RNA
Rfam family: Bacterial small subunit ribosomal RNA
Source: RNAcentral
GACGAACGCUGGCGGCGUGCUUAACACAUGCAAGUCGAACGGAAAGGCCCUGCUUUUGUGGGGUGCUCGAGUGGCGAACGGGUGAGUAACACGUGAGUAACCUGCCCUUGACUUUGGGAUAACUUCAGGAAACUGGGGCUAAUACCGGAUAGGAGCUCCUGCUGCAUGGUGGGGGUUGGAAAGUUUCGGCGGUUGGGGAUGGACUCGCGGCUUAUCAGCUUGUUGGUGGGGUAGUGGCUUACCAAGGCUUUGACGGGUAGCCGGCCUGAGAGGGUGACCGGCCACAUUGGGACUGAGGUACGGCCCAGACUCCUACGGGAGGCAGCAGUGGGGAAUAUUGCAAAAUGGGCGGAAGCCUGAUGCAGCCACGCCGCGUGCGGGAUGACGGCCUUCGGGUUGUAAACCGCUUUCGCCUGUGACGAAGCGUGAGUGACGGUAAUGGGUAAAGAAGCACCGGCUAACUACGUG